RNAcentral lists this transfer RNA (77 nucleotides) under Caudoviricetes sp. RNAcentral's name for it is "tRNA-Leu". It matches the Rfam family "tRNA". From Rfam's summary of the family: Transfer RNA (tRNA) molecules are approximately 80 nucleotides in length. Their secondary structure includes four short double-helical elements and three loops (D, anti-codon, and T loops). Lineage: Duplodnaviria; Heunggongvirae; Uroviricota; Caudoviricetes. The record is from RNAcentral.
AUCCCCAUGAUGAAACUGGCAAACAUCUUUGGCUUAGAACCAAAGUCUUGUAGGUUCGAGUCCUACUGGGGAUACCA